RNAcentral lists this ribosomal RNA (1287 nucleotides) under Triticum aestivum (bread wheat). Its description in RNAcentral is "partial small subunit ribosomal RNA". Lineage: Eukaryota; Viridiplantae; Streptophyta; Magnoliopsida; Poales; Poaceae. The record is from RNAcentral.
AUGGAAGACUUUCACGCGACCAAGGCGCACGCGGAGACAUCCAUGGGCGAUCCCAUAGACGUCUUCUUCCGCGCCGUGCCACCGCCAGGUGCUUCCCGCCUCUAUGUUAACUGGACGCCUCGCCGGUUUACAAAGGGUUCGUCGUCGUCGUCGGGGGCAGGGAAAGGAGAAGAUCGCUGGGAUGGAUUUUACGGACGGGAACCCCUUGUCCUGGCCGCCAAUGGCAAUUCGAUUCUUCUGAGGCUCACUCUCAGCAACACCCGGGUAGACUUCUUCGUCUACACGGUCCACUCCACUGGGCCGCCCUCGCUCUUGCGUCUACCCGAUUGCAAACUCAGAUUCUCAAACAGUUGUCUCCGCUCUGGUGGGUUAGAUCAUAUGGUCACCCUUGGUAACAUUGGUUUUUUAUGUGAUGCUGAAAGCGAAGAAUUUGUGGUGGCAGACCUAAUGAUUUUGCCGAAACACGAUGAUGCCUCCCACCAUGAUGAUACUCCGGUGGUAGCCGGGCUUUGUAUUUUCCGGUCAUGCAGCCCUGGGGAGGACUGGAAAGCCAGCAAACCACGUAUAUGCCAUAAGAAGGGGCAAGGCGGGGAAUUAAUUUGGUGGCACACUGAUGUCGUUGUCCCCCAUGGAGUUUCCCUGUGCUACAUAGAUUAUUUCCGCGGAAUCCUGUUUUUGGAUAUUCUCAGCAAAUGCCCGCGGCUCUUGUAUGUCCGGCUUCCUCUAAUGAACCCUGUUGGUGAUCCUUAUGAUAGUGAAACUGGACGAGGGUGCCCAUCAGCUUUUAGGAGCGUGUGUGUUACCAAUGGCGGAACCAUGAAGUUUGUUGAGGUUGUCACCAGAACCGUCUUUCUUUCAGGCAGCCAGUCAGCUGCUGCUUCUUCAUUUGCAAUCAAAGUUUGGAGGCUUAGGGAACAUGGCAUGACAUGGGAGAAAGAAAGUACCAUCCAAGAUACCGAGCUCUGGUCCCUGCAGGGGUAUGGUGAUCUACUCCGUGUCCCGCCAACAUUCCCUGUUGUGAGCAUGACGAACCCGGAUGUCAUCUUUUGUGUGCUGAGCAAUGGGUGUUUCGGUGACGCCAAUGUGACAUGGGUCAUUGCGAUUGACAUGUUGAAGAAGACUCUGAGAUCAGCUUUUAGAUACAAGAAAGUACAUAGGAACAGCAUUGAGAAUGAUGGCAACAUGGCGUCUGCGAGCCUCUCUACUAAUCGUGCAUUUAUUCCCUCCCAGCUCUCCAAGUACUUAGGUCUGACUGGAGCCAGAAGGAAAAGAAGGAAUCUGGAAUGA